UGCCUGUAGCACCAAGCCUGUGUUCACUUUUGCCAAAGGGAUCCACCUUACUCGGCCUUAUUUAAAUAUGAUACUCUGUCACGCUCUCAACUGUUAUCAGGUUAGCUCCCGCUCCAUGCCCAUUGUUGGAGCGACAGUCCUGGAAUCCAGAGUUGCAAGUGAGGUGGUGAUACGGCAAGCAGACGGUGGCAAAGUACGGCUUAAAAGCUCUACAUCUGGCAAGUGGCCGGCAUACCACCCCAAUGGACAUCGGAACAGUACACGUAGAGUAGCAUCUCUACGUGACAGGGUAUGAGCGCAAGCCAGUAUUGCCAAGCACUGGGGACCUUUGGCAAUCUGAAGAAUGUUUUGUCCGAGAAUCGAUCCUUGGAUCUGUGGCGUUGCAGUUGUGGUGCUCCCGACCCUCUUGCGAGAUGGCCGCGGAGACUUGGCGAAAAGGUUCGAGACAUAUGGUAUCUCAAUAUCUUCCACCACAAUCAGUACAUCAGCACCACCAUCGAGUGUAGCGACAUCAGCAAUAGAAGACGCACAUGAUAUCAAUCACCCUUACGGCCUUAGCGAAGACCCGGGAAUACCUGAGAAGAUGUUAGCCGCAACUUCACUGAAAAAGUCGUCGGUGACAACGGCACUCCAUAUUUUAGCUGCAUGCAGUUAGGUCUCUCAACAAGUGUACCCAAAGUUUUCAAGCUAAUACACAAGCAAAUUCACUAGGGGCCGAGUAUAUUUUCCUACACCUCUCCCUGUUUGUUGUCACAGUGUUAUUUCUGCAUUCAAAUUGUUUGUGUACCUGUACAUUUAUUACAGUAGAGCCAUGCAUCCACGGCUGUUGUUUCCAAGGGGUCAGGCUCGUCAGUUAUACAAAACCUUUCAGCAAUCUGGCCUUAGGCUUAGUUCCUUGACUUCUUGUACCACUUUCUUAGAUGCACAUCCCACUGGAUAGUGAGCAAUACGUGUGUAGCAGAAUCUGUAUUCCAGAAAAGCAGAGACUUGAGUCUAUUGACACUGCGUUUCUUUUUAAAACGUUAUUGGCUGUGGUGUUCCUAGAGGUAUACACGUACA
This is a long non-coding RNA of Sycon ciliatum, 1059 nucleotides long. RefSeq lists it as uncharacterized. The transcript is spliced from 2 exons. The record is from RefSeq and is a predicted model, not a curated record. Lineage: Eukaryota; Metazoa; Porifera; Calcarea; Leucosolenida; Sycettidae.